CCUACGGGUGGCUGCAGUGAGGAAUAUUGGUCAAUGGGCGCGAGCCUGAACCAGCCAAGUAGCGUGAAGGAUGACUGCCCUACGGGUUGUAAACUUCUUUUAUAAAGGAAUAAAGUGAGGCACGUGUGCCGUGUUGUAUGGACUGUAUGAAUAAGGAUCGGCUAACUCCGUGCCAGCAGCCGCGGUAAUACGGAGGAUCCGAGCGUUAUCCGGAUUUAUGGGGGGUAAAGGGAGCGUAUAUGGGUUGUGAAGGCAGUUGGGAACGUUUGCGGCUCAACCGUAAAAUUGCAAUUGAUACUGGCAGCCUUUAGUACAGUUGUGCUCGGCCGAAUUCGUGGUGUAGCGGUGAAAUGCUUAGAUAUCACGAAGAACUCCGAUUGCGAAGGCAGCCUACUAAACUGCCGCUGACAUUGCUGCUCGAAAGUGUGGGUAUCAAACAGGAUUAGAUACCCUAGUAGUC
Molecule: ribosomal RNA, 460 nt
Filed under: uncultured bacterium
Lineage: Bacteria
Description: partial 16S ribosomal RNA
Rfam family: Bacterial small subunit ribosomal RNA
Source: RNAcentral